CCCGGCGACCGGCGCACGGUGAGUAACACGUAUGAAACCUGCCCGUAGCAGGGGGAUAAGCGGAAGAAAUUCCGUCUAAUACCGCGUAACAACCCAUGGAGGCAUCUCUGUGGGUUUAAAGGAAGCGAUUCCGGCUACGGAUGGUCAUGCGUCGCAUUAGCCUGUUGGCGGGGUAACGGCCCACCAAGGCGACGAUGCGUAGGGGUUCUGAGAGGAAGGUCCCCCACACUGGUACUGAGACACGGACCAGACUCCUACGGAAGGCAGCAG
This 270-nucleotide ribosomal RNA is filed under the name uncultured bacterium. RNAcentral's name for it is "partial 16S ribosomal RNA". It matches the Rfam family "Bacterial small subunit ribosomal RNA", at positions 87 to 354 of the family's 1533-position model. The record is from RNAcentral.